UAGGGAAUCUUCCACAAUGGACGCAAGUCUGAUGGAGCAACGCCGCGUGAGUGAAGAAGGUUUUCGGACCGUAAAGCUCUGUUGUUGGUGAAGAAGGAUAGAGGUAGUAACUGGCCUUUAUUUGACGGUAAUCAACCAGAAAGUCACGGCUAACUACGUGCCAGCAGCCGCGGUAAUACGUAGGUGGCAAGCGUUGUCCGGAUUUAUUGGGCGUAAAGCGAGCGCAGGCGGAAGAAUAAGUCUGAUGUGAAAGCCCUCGGCUUAACCGAGGAAUUGCAUCGGAAACUGUUUUCUUGAGUGCAGAAGAGGAGAGUAGAACUCCAUGUGUAGCGGUGGAAUGCGUAGAUAUAUGGAAGAAUACCAGUGGCGAAGGCGGCUCUCUGGUCUGCAACUGACGCUGAGGCUCGAAAGCAUGGGUAGCGAACAGGAUUAGAUACCCUGGUAGUCCAUGCCGUAAACGAUGAGUGCUAAG
RNAcentral lists this ribosomal RNA (472 nucleotides) under uncultured bacterium. Its description in RNAcentral is "partial 16S ribosomal RNA". It matches the Rfam family "Bacterial small subunit ribosomal RNA", at positions 355 to 820 of the family's 1533-position model. The record is from RNAcentral.